ACUUAGUCAGUCUCUUGUAGGAGGUACGACAUUGCUCACAUUGCUUCCAGUGUUUACUUUAGCCAGCUUAAUGCUGGCUAUUUUUU
Molecule: non-coding RNA, 86 nt
Filed under: Providencia alcalifaciens DSM 30120
Lineage: Bacteria; Pseudomonadati; Pseudomonadota; Gammaproteobacteria; Enterobacterales; Morganellaceae
Also listed under: 5 other names
Source: RNAcentral